AGGACGAACGCUGGCGGCGUGCUUAACACAUGCAAGUCGAGCGGUAAGGCCUUUCGGGGUACACGAGCGGCGAACGGGUGAGUAACACGUGGGUGAUCUGCCCUGCACUCUGGGAUAAGCCUGGGAAACUGGGUCUAAUACCGGAUAUGACCUGCUCUCGCAGUGGGGGCGGGUGGAAAGAUUUAUCGGGUGCAGGAUGGGGCCCGCGGCCUAUCAGUCUUGGUUGGUGGGUAAUCGGCCUACCAAGGCGACGACGGGUAGCCGACCUGGAGAGGGUCGACCGGCCACGACGUGGGACUGAGACCGACCGGCCCAGACCGUCCGUACGGGAGGCAGCGAGGUGGGAAUAUUG
RNAcentral lists this ribosomal RNA (352 nucleotides) under uncultured soil bacterium. Its description in RNAcentral is "bacterial SSU rRNA". It matches the Rfam family "Bacterial small subunit ribosomal RNA", at positions 26 to 366 of the family's 1533-position model. The record is from RNAcentral.